Non-coding RNA from Oryza barthii, 193 nucleotides. The record is from Rfam. Lineage: Eukaryota; Viridiplantae; Streptophyta; Magnoliopsida; Poales; Poaceae.
AAAAAGACAAAUUCUAGGUUUGUAUCCAACGUUUGACUAUCCGUCUUAUAUAAAAUUUUUUUAUAAUUAGUAUUUUCAUUGUUGUUAGAUGAUAAAACAUGAUUAAUACUUUAUGCGUGACUUGUCUUUUUAUUUUUUUCAAAUAAGACGGACGGUCAAACGUUGGACACGGAAACCCAGGGUUUGUCUUUUU